This 29-nucleotide non-coding RNA is filed under the name Callithrix jacchus (white-tufted-ear marmoset). Lineage: Eukaryota; Metazoa; Chordata; Mammalia; Primates; Cebidae. The record is from RNAcentral. RNAcentral also lists the same sequence under 5 other names.
AAGAUUUCCGUGGAGAGGAACAAUUCUGA